RNAcentral lists this ribosomal RNA (351 nucleotides) under Candidatus Midichloria mitochondrii. RNAcentral describes it as "bacterial SSU rRNA". It matches the Rfam family "Bacterial small subunit ribosomal RNA", at positions 473 to 820 of the family's 1533-position model. Lineage: Bacteria; Pseudomonadati; Pseudomonadota; Alphaproteobacteria; Rickettsiales; Candidatus Midichloriaceae. The record is from RNAcentral.
UGGUACCUACCAGAAGAAGUCCCGGCUAACUUCGUGCCAGCAGCCGCGGUAAUACGAAGGGGGCUAGCGUUACUCGGAAUUAUUGGGCGUAAAGCGUGCGUAGGCUGCUUAGUAAGUCAAAAGUGAAAGCCUUGGGCUCAACCUAAGAAUUGCUUUUGAAACUACUAAGCUUGAGUACUGUAGGGGGUAGCGGAACUCCUAGUGUAGGGGUGAAAUUCGUAGAUAUUAGGAGGAACACCGGAGGCGAAAGCGGUUAUCUGGACAGUCACUGACGCUGUUGCACGAAAGCGUGGGGAGCAAACAGGAUUAGAUACCCUGGUAGUCCACGCUGUAAACAAUUGAAGUGCUAAA